This 563-nucleotide ribosomal RNA is filed under the name uncultured bacterium. RNAcentral's name for it is "partial 16S ribosomal RNA". It matches the Rfam family "Bacterial small subunit ribosomal RNA", at positions 355 to 911 of the family's 1533-position model. The record is from RNAcentral.
UGGGGAAUUUUGGACAAUGGGGGAAACCCCGAUCCAGCCAUCCCGCGUGUGCGAUGAAGGCCUUCGGGUUGUAAAGCACUUUUGGCAGGAAAGAAACGUCGCGGGUUAAUACCCCGCGAAACUGACGGUACCUGCAGAAUAAGCACCGGCUAACUACGUGCCAGCAGCCGCGGUAAUACGUAGGGUGCAAGCGUUAAUCGGAAUUACUGGGCGUAAAGCGUGCGCAGGCGGUUCGGAAAGAAAGAUGUGAAAUCCCAGAGCUUAACUUUGGAACUGCAUUUUUAACUACCGGGCUAGAGUGUGUCAGAGGGAGGUGGAAUUCCGCGUGUAGCAGUGAAAUGCGUAGAUAUGCGGAGGAACACCGAUGGCGAAGGCAGCCUCCUGGGAUAACACUGACGCUCAUGCACGAAAGCGUGGGGAGCAAACAGGAUUAGAUACCCUGGUAGUCCACGCCCUAAACGAUGUCAACUAGCUGUUGGGGCCUUCGGGCCUUGGUAGCGCAGCUAACGCGUGAAGUUGACCGCCUGGGGAGUACGGUCGCAAGAUUAAAACUCAAAGGAAUU